UAUAACCGAAAUAACCGAACCCGAAAUAAUCGAACCGAAAACCGAACCGAAACCCGAAAUGGCCACCCAGAGAGAAGUGAUGGAUUCGAGACUUGCCGUGUGGUUGCCCGUAGAAAACCCUAGCGCACAUGAACAGGAUGUUUAUGUGGCUCCUCCAGCUUGGGCAAGCUAGUCUCUAUCUCACCUUUGGUUCCUGAAAUAACCAGAACAUUCAAGCCUUUUCUGGAAACUAAUUAUCGAGGCGCUCCCUGAGGGGUCUAUUCUUGUAGCCUUUCCGGCGUUUUCUAGCGCAAAAGCCAAUGCCUUGGAUAGAUCGAUUUUCUCCGAGCUAUGGCCUCUUCCGAAAGGAAGGAUCUGAUUCGAAGCCUCUGCCCUCGUUAAUUCGAGAAACUUCCGAUAUACCCAUUGUUUUAAUGGAAGAAUUGGCCGUAAUCCUUGCCUUUCUAAACUCUUUGCGGGGAUUGAAUUUCUUACAGAAAAAAACGAACAUCAUCAGUUUCACUGAAGGCAAGGCAUUUGCUAAAGCAUCAAGAUUUUGCAUAAAGCUUCUUCUUCAAAUGCUUAACACAGUUUCUUCUAAUAGACUUUAUCACUUGCUCAGAGUCAAUUGCUAGCUCUUUUUACAGAUUCAAGUUUCUAUGCAUUUUUCCCUUACAGUUUCUA
Tarenaya hassleriana is the source of this 663-nucleotide long non-coding RNA. RefSeq lists it as uncharacterized. NCBI's taxonomy places the organism in Eukaryota, Viridiplantae, Streptophyta, Magnoliopsida, Brassicales, Cleomaceae. The transcript has 4 exons. The record is from RefSeq and is a predicted model, not a curated record.